CAGAACGAACGCUGGCGGCAGGCCUAACACAUGCAAGUCGAGCGAGAAAGGGGCUUCGGUCCUGAGUAGAGCGGCGCACGGGUGAGUAACACGUGAAUAAUCUGCCCCUUAGACCGGGAUAACAGACCGAAAGGACUGCUAAUACCGGAUAAGCCCACGUCCCAACCGGGGAUGCGGGAAAAGCACGGGACCGCAAGGCCGCGCGCUUUGGGAUGAGUUCGCGUUCCAUUAGAUAGUUGGUGAGGUAAUGGCUCACCAAGUCGACGAUGGAUAGCUGGUCUUAGAGGAUGAUCAGCCACACUGGAACUGAGACACGGUCCAGACUCCUACGGGAGGCAGCAGUGGGGAAUCUUGCGCAAUGGGGGAAACCCUGACGCAGCCAUGCCGCGUGAGCGAUGAAGGCCUUCGGGUUGUAAAGCUCCGUCUAAGGGGACGAAUGGCGCUGUGAACAAGACACACGGCGAUUGACGGUACCCUUAAAGAAAACACCGGCUAACUCCGUGCCAGCCGCCGC
Molecule: ribosomal RNA, 514 nt
Filed under: uncultured bacterium
Lineage: Bacteria
Description: bacterial SSU rRNA
Rfam family: Bacterial small subunit ribosomal RNA
Source: RNAcentral